This 253-nucleotide ribosomal RNA is filed under the name uncultured bacterium. RNAcentral's name for it is "partial 16S ribosomal RNA". It matches the Rfam family "Bacterial small subunit ribosomal RNA", at positions 524 to 776 of the family's 1533-position model. The record is from RNAcentral.
UACGUAGGGGGCAAGCGUUGUCCGGAAUCAUUGGGCGUAAAGCGCGUGUAGGCGGCUCGAUAAGUCCGCUCUGAAAGUCCAGGGCUCAACCCUGGGAUGCGGGUGGAUACUGUCGGGCUCGAGUCCGGAAGAGGCGAGUGGAAUUCCUGGUGUAGCGGUGAAAUGCGCAGAUAUCAGGAGGAACACCAAUGGCGAAGGCAGCUCGCUGGGACGGUACUGACGCUGAGACGCGAAAGCGUGGGGAGCGAACAGG